AGGGCACAUCAUUCCCCCUCAAUCGAUCAAUCGUAUUCUCUUUCUCCUUGCACCGACGCAACCAUCACCGUGAAACUGGUGGGAUCAAGCCUCUACCGCGCCAGCGUCCAGGUAAGGUUGAUACGGAGCAUCCACCUUGGGGGAGUAGCCUCGGGUACGGUACGAUUGUUUCCUCAUUGUUAAGGAGAUGAGAUGGGUUUGGUUUACUUUUAAUAACAACCAGUUUUCAACUUGGGAUCUCUUCAAAGUUCACAUGAUGGUCGGAUGAGUUGUGUGAGAUUAACUUCUGACUUGAUUGGGUUGUGCACAAGAAGUUGGGACACCAAUCUUAAGAUUUUGGCGUUUGGAGGGUACCGCAGAGUUAUCUGAAAGAGAAGAGAAGAGGGAGGAGGUGAGGUGAGGUUGGACGUGAGAGGCAUUCAACCUUAUGUCUUAUGCAAAAAUUUGUAAACUUGAAAGAAAUGGCACAUAAAGGGAUUGGGACUGUAUAUUCCAAUAAAGUGAUGAAGGUUCUAACUAAUGAAAUUUUUCGUUUUCAAUCGGUAAGAAACAAAAUGGUUGGAAUCUCUAAGGGCAUGUUGGCCCGAUCUUGAGUGGAAGGUAGUAUAUGUCAAUGAAGUUCGGAAGAAAGUAACUAUGAAAUUGAUUCCAAGGAUUGAUUUAAAAGCAAUGGAUGAAAAAAUUUUCAGCUUCUUCAUUGGCAUGGUUCUUGGAUACUUUUUCCGGGGAUUCAAUUCCACUUUACUCUCUUUCUGUUGGUAAUUGCAGCUCAUGUGCCACCCCUGAAGCAUAUCAACCGAUUCCUUAAUGUUUUGCCCCCGUUUGCCUAAUGGAUUGGAUGUUGUAGAUGUGUUUGAAAGGUAGGUGGUUACGGCUAUGUGUAAUACCUAUGGAAUAGAUGCAUAGACAUUUGGAGUUCUUUUGUGUGGUGAGAAUUGUUGCUAUGGAUUGGUGGAUUUCCCCACUUGCUUAUUACUAGGUUGGAUGUUUAAAAUGCUUGCAUUUUGUGGAACAUAAUAUUGAAGUGAAGAUGUUGCUAGGCUUGUUUGAUGGGUUACUUUAUUUUGUUGUUUGACGGUGGACAUCGUCUAGUAAAUAUUGUUAUGUUA
Andrographis paniculata is the source of this 1109-nucleotide RNA transcript. RefSeq lists it as uncharacterized. The record is from RefSeq and is a predicted model, not a curated record. NCBI's taxonomy places the organism in Eukaryota, Viridiplantae, Streptophyta, Magnoliopsida, Lamiales, Acanthaceae. The transcript is spliced from 8 exons.